RNAcentral lists this ribosomal RNA (434 nucleotides) under uncultured bacterium. Its description in RNAcentral is "partial 16S ribosomal RNA". It matches the Rfam family "Bacterial small subunit ribosomal RNA", at positions 29 to 507 of the family's 1533-position model. The record is from RNAcentral.
AGCGAACGCUGGCGGCAGGCCUAACACAUGCAAGUCGAACGAACCUUUCGGGGUUAGUGGCGGACGGGUGAGUAACACGUGGGAACGUGCCUUUAGGUUCGGAAUAACUCAGGGAAACUUGUGCUAAUACCGAAUGUGCCCUUCGGGGGAAAGAUUUAUCGCCUUUAGAGCGGCCCGCGUCUGAUUAGCUAGUUGGUUGAGGUAAUGGCUCACCAAGGCGACGUUCAGUAGCUGGUCUGAGAGGAUGAUCAGCCACAUUGGGACUGAGACACGGCCCAAACUCCGACGGAGGGGAGCAGUGGGGAAUAUUGCGGGAUGGGGGAAAGCCUGACGCAGCCAUGCCGCGUGAAUGAUGAAGGGCUUAGGAAUGUAAAAUUCUUUGUCCGGGGACGAGAAUGACGGUAACCGGAAAAGAAGCCCCGGCUAACUUCGUG